GGGUCAGUAGGUUGGUCGUGCCACCGGUACGUACUGGUCUCACUGAUUCCUCCUUCCUGAAGAACCGUAAUGCCAUUAAUUUGGGGUUGCGGUGAAACAGGACUGUUACUUUGAAAAAAUUAGAGUGUUUAAAGCAAGCUAACGCUUGAAUACAUUAGCAUGGAAUAAUGAAAUAGGACGAUCGAUCCUAUUUUGUUGGUUUCUAGGAUUGACGUA
Molecule: ribosomal RNA, 216 nt
Filed under: Glomeromycotina sp.
Lineage: Eukaryota; Fungi; Glomeromycota
Description: partial small subunit ribosomal RNA
Rfam family: Eukaryotic small subunit ribosomal RNA (bases 40-216)
Source: RNAcentral